Molecule: long non-coding RNA, 923 nt
Organism: Motacilla alba alba
Lineage: Eukaryota; Metazoa; Chordata; Aves; Passeriformes; Motacillidae
Exons: 3
Source: RefSeq, a predicted model, not a curated record
GGGAAUGCUGUCACUACCAAAUGACACCUGUUUUCCAUGGGUCUCUUCAGCCUACAGGAAAAAUGGUCUUUCCCCUAGCUCAGCUGCAGGCAGGCAUCUCCUGGGGCCAGUGGAUCAGAAAUUCUGCCUGAGCAGAAAAGAAGACUUUGAAUGUUUGUCCAGGGUGUACUGAUGUCCAACGGCCUGGUCAGGGCAGCAAUUUCUACAAGAGCUCUGGACACCCAGGAAUGCUGAAGGCAGUCACUGAGCCUACACUCAAGGGCUGGGCUGAAGAUUCCCAUGGAUUCUGUGUGCACAGCAAAGGGGAUCUGGACACAUGCAAAAGGGAAAUCUGAGGGAGAAAUACAGAUGCCUUAAUUAUACUUUCCUGAUAUUUUUCCAUUGCAUUUCACCUCCCAGCAGUAUUGAAAGGCUGAGAUGCUCAGUAGGGUUCUUCAGAUGUGAAAAAGUAUCAGAUCCCUCCUCCAUCACGACAUGCAGCCACACAGGGGCAGGUGCUGCCACAAGGGAUGGAGGUUGUGCAUCCCCUCCCACAGCAGCCUGUUUGGAUCUGCUUGAGCCCACUGAAAAUUCUCACCUUCCUAUCUCCAGCCUCAGAAACAGCCAACAGCACAGCCCUGAAGCUGCACAGUGGGCAAAGGACCCAGCCUCCGGCGGUGCUUUUAGGGAAGUGAAAAGGUUGUGGGCCCAGUAAAACAGAUGAAACUUGAAAAGCAGAACUGGGAAAACACCAUUUUAUUUCCACGUAAGGUAAAUACGGGACUUCACUUAAUCUCUAGCAAUUUAAAGAAAGUUCAGAAGUACUGUGACUAAAAUAUGAAGACAUUGCCUUUUGCAAGUGGAAAAAUGCAAGUUAGAGAAACCUCUAACAUGUCACAGUGCCUAGGUAGGUUAUAGUAAAGAUAAAAUUAAGAUUGCAACUU